Molecule: long non-coding RNA, 1443 nt
Filed under: Apteryx haastii (Great spotted kiwi)
Lineage: Eukaryota; Metazoa; Chordata; Aves; Apterygiformes; Apterygidae
Description: lncRNA (ENSAHAG00000016877.1)
Source: RNAcentral
AUGGGUGACACUGUUGUGGGUGUUUACUACAGGCCAUGUGAUCAGGAGGAGGAAGUCGAUGAGGCCUUCUACAGACAGCUGGAAGUAGCCUCACGAUGCCAGGCCCUGGUUCUCAUGGGGGACUUCAACCACCCUGAUAUCUGCUGGAAAGACAGCACAGCUAGGCACAAACAGUCCCGGAGGUUCCUGCAGAGCAUUGGUGACAACUUCUUGACACAGGUGGUGGAGGAGCCAACAAGGAGAGGUGUGCUGCUGGACCUCGUACUAACAAACAAAGAAGGACUGGUGGAAGAUGUGAAGGUUGGGGGCAGCCUUGGCUGCAGUGACCAUGAGAUGGUGGAGUUCAGGAUCCUGCGAGGAGGAGGCAGGGCACUGAGUAGGAUCGCAACCCUGGAGUUCAGGAGAGCAAACUCUGGCCUCUUCAGGGACCUACUUGGAGGAAUCUCAUGGGUUAGGGCCCUAGAAGGAAGGGGGGUCCAAGAGAGCUGGUUAAUAUUCAAACAUCACUUCCUCCAGGCUCAGGAGCGGUGCAUCCCUAUGAGUAGGAAGUCAAGCAAAGGAGGUAGGAGACCUGCAUGGAUGAGCAAGGAGCUCCUGGCAAAACUCAACCAGAAGAAGGAAGUAUACAGAAGGUGGAAAGGGGGACAGGCCACUUGGGAGGAAUAUAGGAACGUUGUCAGAGUAUGCAGGGAUGCGACGAGGAAGGCUAAGGCCCGUUUGGAAUUAAAUCUGGCAAGAGAUGUCAAGGACAACAAGAAGGGCUUCUUCAAAUACAUCAGUAGCAAGAGGAAGACUAGGGAAAAUGUGGGCCCAUUGCUGAAUGGGGCGAGUGCCCUGGUGACAAAGGAUGCAGAGAAGGCAGAGUUACUGAAUGCUGCCUUUGCUUCAGUCUUUCCUGCUCAGGCCAGCCCUCAGGAACCCCAGACCCUGGUGACAAGAGAGAAAGGCUGGAGGAAGGAAGACUUUCCCUUGGUGGAGGAGGAGUGGGUUAGAGAUCAUUUAAGCAAACUUGACACCCACAAAUCCAUGGGCCCUGAUGGGAUGCACCCACGAGUGCUGAGGGAGCUGGCGGAUGUCAUUGCUAAGCCACUCUCCAUCAUCUUUGAAAGGUCAUGGAGAACAGGAGAGGUGCCUGAGGACUGGAAGAAAACCAAUGUCACUUUGGUCUUCAAAAAGGGCAAGAAGGAGGACCCGGAAAACUACAGGCCAGUCAGCCUCACCUCCCUCCCUGGAAAGGUGAUGGAGCAGCUCAUCCUGGAGGCCAUCUCCAAGCAUGUGGAGGACAAGAAAGUGAUCAGGAGUAGUCAGCAUGGCUUCACCAAGGGGAAAUCAUGCCUAACCAAUGUGAUGGCCUUCUAUGAUGGAAUGACUGGAGAGCAGUGGAUGUUGUCUACCUUGACUUCAGCAAGGCUUUCGACACUGUCUCCCAUAACAUCCUCAUAG